GUCCUUGCCUUAAACGAUGUAUACUUGGCGUAGUCGGACUCAACCCCGACUGUGCCGAAGCUAACGCGAUAAGUAUACCGCCUGGGAAGUACACUCGCAAGGGUGAAACUCAAAAGAAUUGACGGGGACCCGCACAAGCAGUGGAGCAUGUGGUUUAAUUCGAUGCAACGCGAAGAACCUUACCUGGAUUUGACAUGCAGUUGACCUAACCAGAAAUGGUUACUUCCCGCAAGGGACAAUUGCACAGGUACUGCAUGGCUGUCGU
RNAcentral lists this ribosomal RNA (265 nucleotides) under uncultured bacterium. Its description in RNAcentral is "partial 16S ribosomal RNA". It matches the Rfam family "Bacterial small subunit ribosomal RNA", at positions 793 to 1055 of the family's 1533-position model. The record is from RNAcentral.